UGUAUAUAUGUAUAUAUCCAAAAGGUGACUGAAUACAUAGAUGUUUCAAUACAUAAGUGUUGACUUAGAGUACAAAAGACAUGGAUAGAAACUAUCCAAGAGUGAAUCAAUCAACAUGACAUUACAUGGCCCAUAAGAUAGAUCCUAGACAAAAACUAAAGAAAGGACAGACUAUACUGGAUCUAAUAGAUAUCAUGGCUGGAU
RNAcentral lists this long non-coding RNA (204 nucleotides) under Elaeis guineensis (African oil palm). RNAcentral's name for it is "long non-coding RNA (EGUI_LNC012762)". The record is from RNAcentral. Lineage: Eukaryota; Viridiplantae; Streptophyta; Magnoliopsida; Arecales; Arecaceae.